Molecule: ribosomal RNA, 456 nt
Filed under: Blochmannia endosymbiont of Camponotus textor
Lineage: Bacteria; Pseudomonadati; Pseudomonadota; Gammaproteobacteria; Enterobacterales; Enterobacteriaceae
Description: bacterial SSU rRNA
Rfam family: Bacterial small subunit ribosomal RNA
Source: RNAcentral
UGAUUAAACCCUGAUGCAGCUAUACCGUGUGUGUGAAGAAGGCCUUAGGGUUGUAAAGCACUUUCAAUGGGGAAGAAUUUAAUAUUGCUAAUAUCGAUAUUAAUUGACGUUACCUAUAUAAGAAGCACCGGCUAACUCCGUGCCAGCAGCCGCGGUAAUACGGAGGGUGCAAGCGUUAAUCGGAAUUACUGGGCGUAAAGAGUACGUAGGUGGUUUGUUAAGUCAGAUGUGAAAUCCCUGAGCUUAACUUAGGAACUGCAUUUGAAACUAAUAAACUAGAGUUUCGUAGAGGGGGGUAGAAUUCCAGGUGUAGCGGUGAAAUGCGUAGAGAUCUGGAGGAAUACCAGUGGCGAAGGCGACCCCCUGGACGGAAACUGACACUCAGGUACGAAAGCAUGGGGAGCAAACAGGAUUAGAUACCCUGGUAGUCCAUGCCGUAAACGAUGUCGAUUUGAA